Molecule: long non-coding RNA, 3054 nt
Filed under: Canis lupus familiaris (dog)
Lineage: Eukaryota; Metazoa; Chordata; Mammalia; Carnivora; Canidae
Description: lncRNA (ENSCAFG00845027759.1)
Source: RNAcentral
UUUUUAUUUUUAUUUAUUUUGGGAGGGGGGAUCUGCUUUUAAAAUUGUAACAUUUACACCUUUUUAUACAAGGUUCACAUUUACGAUUGAAUAAAUUUCCUAUUUUUUUCUCAUCAUUACACAAAUAUAUUAAAAGGAAAUAAAGAUUUUUAUUAAAGGCCAGUAGGGGAGAGGUGGUACAAAUUUUCCAUUAGGGAGUUUCAAAGAACAGGCUUCCGGUGGUGCCAAAGGAAGACUUUGGGUUUGUCUGUUAAGUACUUCCUAUGCUUUCCUCAUCAAACAGACAACAGGCAGGUGCAGUAAAGCCAUACUGUGAAUUCCUAUCUUCAUUUCAACAUACCCAGAGUCAAGGGCCCAGAUGCCAGCAGCUGAAGCAAGCAGGCUUUUCCUCCCUAUAGAUCCAGAUAUGUGAGUCAAAACUUGGCUUUCUUACAUAGUAUAGUAUCUUGUGAGUUGUGGUUUUUUUCCUAAUGUGCUAGAGGGAAGAAAAAUAGCUGAGCUUUGUAAAAUGACAGCUCUCUAUUUUUAAAUGAGUUUGAAAAGCCGAUUAAAUUAUGUAUUUUAUUGCCUCUGUGAAUAUCAUAUUAAAUGAAUAUUUUAUUUUAAAGCCUUGAAUAAAUGAAAAUAAUUUUUGUAAUGUUUGGUCUAUUCGAGUCUUUGUGACAACUGUCAAGAUUUCUUUGCUGUUCAACUGUAGAGAUAUAAAUAAGGUGGAGUUUCUCUAAUAUUAAAUUGUUCUUUGAGUGGUGCCUGAAAGAAACUCUUAAUUAAAUACUCAAAUAAUUAUGUCUCCCACUGAUACAGAUUGAGAUUGUCCCCAAGCAAAUCAUACUGGGGGAGCAUUAAUCAAAGACUUAAAAACAGUGUGACAAUGACAACUGAUAUAAAAUAAUAAUAAAAAUAUUACAUAUACUUACAAAUAAGACUACCAUCACCUUUUAUGAAAAAUUUAUAGAGUAAUAUAUAAAUAUGAAAAUGAAUAUAUAUUCAUUUUGAAUAUAUAUAUUUAUAUGUAUAAUAUAUAAAUACAUUUAGUGAGACACAGAGAAAGAGACUUCAAUUAUGGUGCCAGUGCAUUAAAAUCUCUCACCAAAGGAUUGAAGAAUUCUGGAUAUAAGCCCCAUCUGACCCCUCAAAGACAUCACUCUUUUGUCCCUCUAGGAAACUUGACUCUCUUCUAGCAGGAAGCAAUUUAUCUUUCUUGGGAUAUUUGACAACCCAUUGCCUUUCAAGCAUUUACCUCUUCAAAACCACAUUGGUUUAGAACAAGAGUCUUCAUACUAUUUUAUGGGUACUCCUGGGAGUUCAUGAGAUUGUCCAAGGAAUAUGCAGGCAUGGACAGGGAAUCAGUUUCCAUUUCUUCAAUUUCCAUAUGUACUCACUCAAAACUUCUGCUUGAGAUGCCCCAGUGUUCCACAUGAGCUGGGUUCUCCCUCCACACCUCCCCUUUCCUGGAAGAGCUCUUCCCCUUGAAAACAAAAGCCUACUCUAGCCACCCCUAAUCUACCUGUGGUGGAUAGGCUCUGGGGGACAGACUUUUGGACACCAACUAAAGGAACAAUUCAGAAUAUUAGUGUCUGAGAAAGGCUUAUUUUUUUAAUUGAUUACAUAUCUAUUUAAGACUUUAGGAAUGGAGUAUUUUUGCCUGCAUUGGAACAUUUUGAAUAUAGAAAUAUGAAGAAGUGGAAGUGAAGACAAAUUUCCAUGAAACUGCUAGCACUUCCAUCUCCACCUUUACCCCCCCCCCCCCAAAAAAAAAAGCCUCACUCUUGAGGAUAAUCCAAACCCAUAUUGAUAUAUUUGUUAGAACUGAAAAAUGAAGUCAGAUUUUUUUUCUGACAGAAAGAAAGUCUGAUUUGGCUGAUUGGUUUAACAAGGGCCUCUGUUUUGCCAAUUAGGAAAUAUGAAGGACAUUUUUCAUUAAUUAGAUUAGCUGAAUCUGUAGCUCCAAAGUUUUUAAAAAAUAUUUAAAGCAUGUGGUAAUAUAGAGAGCAUAUUUUAAAAAUAAUUGACCUAGAAUAUAUAGACUCUUACAACCCUAUAAUAAGAAAGUAAGUCAAUUUUUUAAAUGAGCAAAAGAAUUUGAACAAAUGAGCAAAGAAUGGCCAUAAAGCAAAUAAGCACAUGGCAAUGGCAAAUGAAUAUAGGAAAAGAUGCUCAACAUCAUUAAUAGUUAAAUAAAGACAAACUAAAACCACAAUAAGGUACCACUUAAUACCCACAAAAUAGCUAAAAUAAAAAAUUACCGAUGAUAGCAAGUAUUGAUGAGAAUAUAAACAAUAACUCCCAUAGACUUCAUGUGGCAUGGUCACUUCAAAAUCAGUUUGCAGUUUCUUAUAAAGUUAAGCAACCAGUAACCAUAUAACAGCAGUGUCACUCCUAGAUAUUUACCCAGUUACCAGAAGUAGAACACAGUAACAGAAAAAUCAGAAGCCAGGAACUUGGAGAGGGCUUGACGAUAAGAAUCAUAAGGGGACAUUCAGGGUGAUGGAAAUGUUCCAAAUCAUGACUUGGGUGGUGGUUACACAACAUCAUACCCUCGUCAAAAUGCAUAGAACUGUACACUUUAAAUUGGUGAAUUUUAUUUCACGUAAAUUAUACCAUUAAUAAAGCUAGUUUAAAAUGUUAUUGUCCACGAGUAGCAGGGAAAAUUAUUACAUUUUUCCCGACCCUCUCUGAGAAUAUUGAGUUAAAUUUGGAGCCUCUAAGUGAAAGAGUAACAGGCUCUAAGAACUGUCAAGCAAGUCUACGAAAGCCUUUUAUUGUGAUACUUCCUAGAAAUUAAAAGCUCAAGUUCUAGAAACAUUUUGAAAAACAAGUCUUUCCAGUUCUUUUCUUUCAACAAAACUGAAAAAGGUUCUCAUUGAGUUGUCAAUCUUCCCAUUAAAAAUUUAAAAAAAAAAAUGUUUUGAGGAUAGACCACUGUGGUUUUUUAGCAUAUAACUUGGAAGAAGUUCGAAUUUGAGGGGCUAUAUGCACCAAAAGUCCCUGUCAUCUACCUCUUGAUGUGAAACAAAGUUGACCAGCACGUAAAUCUAAAAAAAAAAAAAAAAA